Culex pipiens pallens (northern house mosquito) is the source of this 501-nucleotide long non-coding RNA. RefSeq lists it as uncharacterized. The record is from RefSeq and is a predicted model, not a curated record. NCBI's taxonomy places the organism in Eukaryota, Metazoa, Arthropoda, Insecta, Diptera, Culicidae. The transcript has 2 exons.
AAUUGUAUAGGGUAUUUUGAAGUUGAAAGAGGCUCGCACUUCUCUUUUUUUAGUGAGGGUUUUUUUUUGAGUCACAAGAUGUAUUGUUUCAAGAAGAAAGUAGGAUAUGGCAACACUUGGAAACAAUAGCAACAGACGAAACAAAACAUUCAAGUAAACAGGAAUUUAUGAUGUCACGACUAGAUAAAAUUUAGUGUUAGCUCCAUCUAAAAGUUACGUAACGCGUGAAAUUUGGUCGAGAAGGAAAGGGGGUGGGGGGUAAAGGGUCUUAAAAUGAAACUCUAGGAUCACGCUGAAAGUUAUUAUUAUUAUUUUUUUUUUUGUUAAUUUACACAAGAUUUAGCAGAAACGAAAAAAAGAAGAAACGUUUGGAUUGCGUUACGUACUCAACAGACUAUGCUUUAGCUGGGCUCAAUACAACAAAAUAUAGGAAUAGAGUGAAAAAGGAAAAUAAAAGAAGAUGCCGUGCUUUUGCUUCAGAUGCAACUUAAGAUCGUAUUU